Molecule: ribosomal RNA, 253 nt
Filed under: uncultured bacterium
Lineage: Bacteria
Description: partial 16S ribosomal RNA
Rfam family: Bacterial small subunit ribosomal RNA
Source: RNAcentral
UACGUAGGGUGCAAGCAUUAAUCGGAUUUAUUGGGCGUAAAGGGCGCGUAGGCGGAAAUGCCAGUCAGAUGUGAAAUCCCGGGGCUCAACCCCGGAACAGCAUUUGAAACUACAUUUCUAGAGGGUAGGCGGAGAAAACGGAAUUCCACAAGUAGCGGUGAAAUGCGUAGAUAUGUGGAAGAACACCAGUGGCGAAGGCGGCUCACUGGCCCGAUACUGACGCUGAUGCACGAAAGCGUGGGGAGCAAACAGG